This 607-nucleotide ribosomal RNA is filed under the name Bufo bufo (common toad). Its description in RNAcentral is "partial 16S ribosomal RNA". The stretch from base 164 to 607 matches the Rfam family "Bacterial large subunit ribosomal RNA", at positions 568 to 1209 of the family's 2925-position model. The record is from RNAcentral. Lineage: Eukaryota; Metazoa; Chordata; Amphibia; Anura; Bufonidae.
CUAAAAACCUAGCCCAACAAACAUGAAUUUUACUAAAUUAACUAAACCCCCUUAAUAAACCAUUUUAACAUUCUAGUAAAGGAGAUUGAAAAACUUAUUUGGAGCUAUAAAGAUAGUACCGCAAGGGAACGAUGAAAUAUUAUGAAAAACUUCAAGCAACAAAAAGUAAAGACUACCUCUUGUACCUUUCGCAUCAUGGUUUAACUAGUCUAACCAAGCAAAACGUAUUUAAGUUUGACUUCCCGAAACUAAGUGAGCUACUUCAGGGCAGCUAGAAGAGCAAACCCGUCUCUGUAGCAAAAGAGUGGGACGACCCUCAAGUAGUGGUGACAGACCUAACGAACUUAGUGAUAGCUGGUUACUCAAGAAACGGAUUUAAGUCCAACCUAAAAGUUACAUUACCCAAGUUUAUCAAAACAAUCAUUUGGCUUUUAGAGUAAUUCAAAUAAGGUACAGCCUAUUUGAAACAGGAUACAACCUAGCCUAACGGAUAAGAUCAGCCUAGCAUACAAUCAAGUGGGCCUAAAAGCAGCCACCUUUAAUACAGCGUCAAAGCUAAAUUGUAACCGCGCCCAAUUACUUAACCCAUAUCUCAAUCCCCUGCUAA